RNAcentral lists this long non-coding RNA (1533 nucleotides) under Papio anubis (olive baboon). Its description in RNAcentral is "lncRNA (ENSPANG00000042614.1)". The record is from RNAcentral. Lineage: Eukaryota; Metazoa; Chordata; Mammalia; Primates; Cercopithecidae.
AUGGACACAGAUACAUGCAGGCCUCUGAGCCCAGGGCUGAGAGCAGUGCUGCUCACUGAAGUAACACCUCUGAUGUUUUCUCAAGCUGUUUGCUGGGUCGAGGUCUCAGAUGCUGGCCAGUCCUGUUCAAGAUCAAGGUCAGACACCUGGUGGAAGUAAGUGGUCAGGUGGGGUUGAGACCUAGCUGUGCGUGACUUCUAAGAGGCACAGCCCUGCUCCCUGAGAUCCCCCUAAUCCAAGCCCCCAGCCAGGGCCCGGGGCCACGUUGGCAUCUCAUACCUUGCUGGCCAUGGGCUCACUGGGUUGGCACUGCCACCCUCCUCUGGAUGUGAUGCGUCUGUCUGUGAGCUGUGCAGUGUUGAAGACUGUGUUGGUUUAAGAUGCAUCACUUACCUUCAAUUAUUAGACACUCACUGGGCACCUCCUCUGUUCUUUGUGGGGACGAGAGGCUGAUGCACCCAUUCCUGCCUCCAGGCUGCAGGUGACGUUGCAGGGCCUUCAGCCCUCCCUACAAGUGACUCUCUACCGCUCUUCAUGAAAUAUGGUCAUUCCCUGAACUCCCAGUUCUGGAGCUGUGACGUAGGAAGAGGCCUUAUCUUUUUAAAAUCGAUGUGGCUGUUUUUAAUCAAUUUGUGUAUGUUUAACAGGUUUCCCUUUUCUCUGGUUUCCCUGCACUGUGGCUGGAUUCAGUAGUUAGGAAAUUUAUUAUUCACUUCUACCCUAUUUUUUUUUUCACUGAAUGUGAGUAAGGGUAUAGAAAGACGAAAGACGAAAACCAAAAGGGCCCAUGAUCUCACUGGAUUGUCGCAACCAUCACUGGCAUUUUGGUAAAAACUAUUUCCGUAUCUUUCCUGUGCACAGAUACACAAGUGUGAGAGUGAGGGUGUAUUCGUACCUGUGUAUAUAGUUGUUCUUAAUAGGAUCGUGCCCCUGGCCUGGAACUUGUUUUUUUUUCUCAGCUGUACAGUCAACCCUGUGCAUCUGUGGGUUCCACAUCUGUUGAUUCAACCUACUGCGGAUCUAAAAUAUUUUGGAAAAGCAACAAAGGAUAAUAAUGCAAUAAUAAAAAUAAUACAAAUAAAAAACAAUAGAGUGUAACAACUCUGUAUGUAGUAUUUACAUUGUAUUAGGUAUUAUAAGCCAUCUGGAGAUUUAAAGUACAUGGAAGUGCCCAGUUAUAUGUGAAUAUUGCACCAUUUGAUAUCAGGGUCUCAGCAUCUGUAGAUUUUUAUGUGCAAGGGGGUCCUGGAACCCACCCACACAUUGAGUGUUGAGGGGUUAGAAGGCAGCAAUGGACUGGAAUUUUUUUUUUUUUUAAACACCUGCAGGUGUCCAAAAUAAUCCAUGAUCUGCAUCAUCAGGGAACAGAGCAUUUUCACAGGGAUUUAAGUAAAGUCAUGUUUACCCCGCUAGGCACCCACGCACGGACCCCUUUACCCCCAGUGCACUCAAACAAAAUAAAAGAAACAAAACCCAAGUUCACUUUUGAUGAAAGCGGCUCUAAUGGGACAUCUUAGGCCUCAUUCAAGCAGA